CGGUAUCCGUUGCAGGAGGUGGAGCAGGAUCGCGGUCGUUUAUCAUGGCCUGUCAGGUAGUAAUGGAGCUGCGUGGGAUCCGUCGUAGGGAGUGGAGCAGUGCUGCGAUCGUUACUGCGGCCUGUCAGGGAGUGGUGGAGCUGCGCGGAAUCCACCGCAGGAAGUGUAGCAGAAUCGUGGCCGUGAUUGCGGCCUGGAAGUGCAGAUCUGCCGGCUGAAGUUCGGCCGUGGUCGGAGUC
Molecule: long non-coding RNA, 239 nt
Filed under: Elaeis guineensis (African oil palm)
Lineage: Eukaryota; Viridiplantae; Streptophyta; Magnoliopsida; Arecales; Arecaceae
Description: long non-coding RNA (EGUI_LNC066023)
Source: RNAcentral